GCGCCGGGGGGGUGGCUUUUCCCUGCCCCCCCCCGGGGAGACCCGCAGCGAGCGCCCAGGGGUGGCCCUGGGAGCCCCCGGGGUGGCCACACGCACGGGCGGGCGGGGCACUGCGGGGGAGGAGGUGCACGACGCCGGCCCGAAACUGUGCGGGUCACCACGGGUUUUGCUGAGAGGAAACUCUUGGUUUUAGGGCGUUUGUGCCCGAAAGCGUGCGAUUAAGGCCUUUUUUUUUGCAAGGGAAACUUGUGUCGGCGUCGGGUUUUUGUGCCCGAAAGCUUGCGAUUAAAGACUGUUUUUUUUUUUUUGUGAGGGAAACCUGUGUUGGUUUUAGGGCAUUUGUGUCCAAACGCUUACAAUUAAAGACUUUUUUCUGUGAGGAAAACCUGUGUUGAUCUAGGGCGUUUGUGCCCAAAAGCGUGCGAUUAAAGACUUUUUUUUGUGAGGAAAACCUGUGUUGGUUUUAGGGCGUUUCUGCCCAAACGCUUACAAUUAAAGACCAUUUUUUUUGCAAGGGAAACCUGUAUUGGUUUUGUGGCGUUUGUGCCCGAAAGCGUGCGAUUAAAGACUGUGAGGAAAAUCUGUAUUGGUUUUAUGGCGUUUGUGCCCGAAAGCGUGCGAUUAAAGACGGGUUUCCCUCACAAAAAAAUGGUCUUUAAUCGCACCCUAGAUCAACACAGGUUUUCCUCACAGAAAAAAGUCUUUAAUUGUAAGCGUUUGGACACAAACGCUCUAAAACUAAUACAGGUUUCCCUCGCAAAAAAAUGGUAUUGGUUUUAGGAUGUUUGUGCCCGAAAGCUUGUGAUUAAAGACUUUUCUUUCAAGGAAAACCUGUAUUGGUUUUAGGGUGUUUAUGCCCUCAAAAGCUUGCAAUUAAAGACAUGUUUUUGCGAGGGAAAUCUGUAUUGCUUUUAGGGUGCUUGUACCCAAAAGCUUGCGAUUUAAAGGAAAAAAAAAUUUGGUCUAGGGUAUUUGUGCCCAAAAGCUUCAAUUAAGGAAAUGUUUUUGCAAGGGACACUUGUAUUAAUCUAGGGCGUUUGUGCCUGAAAGCUUGCAAUUAAAGAUUUUUUUUAAUUGUGUGAGUGAAACCUGUGUUGGUCAGGGGAUGUUAGUGCCCGAAAGCUUGCAAUGAAAGAUUUUUUUUUUUUUUUUGCAAAGAUCUUGUUGGUCUAAUAAAAGAGAUCCCCUCCGUCCACGAGCUCCGAUAGGACUUGAGUUCAAGGCUUUGUUUCAUUAACCAUUCUCCUGUCUCUUCCCCCACCCGAAAAAAAAAGCAUAGGUGCAUUUCUAUUAUUUCGGUCUCAUUUUAUGGAUGCCAGAUCCUUUGGCCUGCUCUGCUGCUCCUGGCCUCUUGUUCUUGUAGAGUAAAUGCUAGCAUAGAGGGCAUUGCACGCUCAUUUCUUGGAGGUAUCAUUGAAUCUGGGGUUGUGUGAGCCAUCGAGUGUCGUAGGUAAACAGCACGAGGUUUAAUUCUCGGGCCUGCGAUGCAGAAACGUAAUUCGGGUAAUCUUCCAAAUCUGCGUUACUCCAUUUUGCAACCUCAACUGAAGCAUUAGGUGAAUAGUUCUGUUUUUAACAAAACUCAUUAUAAUUAAGGAGUACUUGUGUAGUAAGGGCCUUUAAAAACUAAUCCUCACAGUAUUCAUGUGAAGUAUAAGUUAAAUUUAAAAAGUACAGUGGAAACGAGACACAUAAGACCCCUUUUUUCCAUAACAUGGGUCCUAGAGCACGUGGCAUCUAUCUUUAAACAAAAACCAAUUAACUCUAGCUGAGCUGGGGUUCAGCUAUAGCAAUUUUAUUGCUGGUCUACUCAUGAGUUAGGUUUUAAAAGGGGAAGGAGAGCUGCUGUAGUAGGGAGUUUGACUCCCCCCUAGGUAAGACCUCUACAUGGUCACAAAACAUCAGACAUGGCAAGUAAAGAUGCUGGAAUUAGACUAAUCCCAGCUAGAGAAACUUGUUGUUCAGGAACAGCCACUUUGGAAAUGCGUUAAGCGAAAUCAAAAAAGGACACAUUUAUUUUGGAGUAAAGUGUCCAUACAUAGAGUUACUCGAAAGUAGCUAUUACACUUAAAAUAUAUGCCCUAUCUUAUUCUGUUACAAAGUUUAUGUGCAAAUGAGACCCUAAUAGUGGUCUCUGCAAAUUAUUUCAUAGACAUUAGGGUGGAAGAGACCUCGAGAGAUCGAGUCCAGCCCCCUGCCCAAAGGGCAGGAAGUCAGCAGGGGUCAUAGGAUCCCAGCAAGAUAGACAAACUAGAAGGUCUGUUUAUCAGUUAUAUAGUGGAUACUUCUGGAAUUGACGCGGAGGCUUAGUGCUGUGAAAGCGUGUGUGUGCUGCAUGGUUUCAGCAGGGAUGACCAAGGUAUAGGUCACAGAGCUGUCAUCUGGCCUAUGGCACUCCCCCUGGGCCUGGAAAUUUGACAGUGUGGCAAGUGGUGGCAGCGUUAAUUGGCACAGCUCUCAGAGCUGCGGCAGUCGAUGCUGCCGCCUUUCAUCCCGUCAUAGAUUUCUGGACCACAGAUCUAGAGUGCAGAGCUGCAUCAACUGGCCCGUGGGGCUGGAAAUUUGGCGGUAGGAGGAACAGCAGCUAUUGGGGCUGUGAGAGUCACGGCAAUUAACACUGCUGCUGCCAAUUCUAGCCCUGUGGGCCACAUGAGUUGGGCACCAGUGGACUACAACACGGCUAGGUAAUGAAGACUGAUUGCUUGUUUUGGGUGUUUUCCACUUGCAGAGCAGCCUGGCUGCUUGUGUUACACCAGGGAGCAUUCAGAGUACUUGGCACUUUGUAGGACUGUUAUAUUUAAUGCACCUAAAUGUUGAUUACUUUUUCCCUUUUCAGAUACCUGGUUAUUUCUGAAAAACUUGAAGAAAUUAAAUCUUUCAGAGAACUGACCUGCUUGGAUCUUUCCUGCUGCAAACUUGGAGAUGAACACGAAUUGCUAGAACAUCUCACCAAGGAAGCUCUAUCCAGUGUAACAAGGCUCCUCCUGAAGGAUAACUGUUUAUCUGAUGCAGGCCUUCGCAAAAUGACAGCACCAGUACGAGUAAUGAAAAGGGGACUUGAAAAUCUUUCUGUGCUAGAUUUGUCUUGUAACCCUAAAAUCACUGAUGUAGGAAUUGGAUAUCUUCUUUCCUUCAGGAAGUUAAAUUGCUUGGACAUAUCUGGAACAGGUCUCAAGGACGUUAAGGCAGUUGUUCAGAGGAUCCAGGUACAGCUGGGCCUUGUCCAUUCAAAAGUACCACUGAAAGAAUUUGAUCAUAGUACCUGCAAAACAGAGGGAUGGGCAGAGCAGACCAUUUUGCAGUGGGAACAGUUGGUCAUGGAAGCCAUUAAGCCGAAAAAAAACUUGCAGUGCAGAAGAGCAGCUAGACAUUUCUAUGGAAAGAGAUGCAGAAUAGAAGAACAAGUCACAUGCACGUUGGUGGAGGUGGAAACAAAAGCAACUGGAAACCUGCAGUUCUAUAAGGAGAAAACACAAAACUGCCAUGCCCCUUUGUUGAAAAAGGAGGCUGCAGUUAGCCAUGAAUUGAAGAAAAAUAAAAAGAGAGUUUUGGCUGAACAAGAGACAGAACGGACCUCAAAGCACAUGUGCCUCACCAUGGAAGACUGGGACUUGCUGAAUAGCUAUUGAUUCAGAAAAGAAUUUAUUCCUUGACUGUUAUAUCAAACUGGAUUUUCACAUGGAGAAAGGAGACUGACCUUAUCCAGAUGAUCUGCUCACGAUGGCAUGGCAGCAAAUUAAUUUCUGCCCACGUGCUGGAGACAUGGAUAAUACCUAGAAGGAAUUCAUCGGCACUGCUAUCUAAACUGCCUGAGCACCUCAGUAGCAGAUGACUAGUCAUCUCCGCUGCCUCUGUUCUUCCCUUUAGCAAUCUGGCAACUGUAGUAACAGCAGUUGAAACUGAAAUUGGCUUUAGGUGAGAGAGACUAGUUUGCUUGGUCCUGCUGCUGAUGUGGUGUCACACAACAGAGCCUGAAUUCAUCAGCAUGAUAGUAGUGGUGACUGAUUUGUAUAUUUAAAAUGCCUCAUGACUUG
Molecule: RNA transcript, 4034 nt
Organism: Alligator sinensis (Chinese alligator)
Lineage: Eukaryota; Metazoa; Chordata; Crocodylia; Alligatoridae
Gene: LRRC42
Gene name: leucine rich repeat containing 42
Exons: 7
Source: RefSeq, a predicted model, not a curated record